AACCCAUCUUUUCCUGGUUGAAUCGUAGUAUAAAAUGUUAUUUAUAUGUAGUUGAUAAUGUUAGAUGUACCACUUAACCAGCUUUAUAAAAGAAACUGAAGUUAUGCUAAUGAAGUAAUAAUAAUGACAAUAUCUUGCUAGUGAAGAGGCGAAGAAAAGUGGUUUCCUAAUCUCGAAUCACAAUAAGUAACAAGGAAGUUGUAAAAAUACUGAUGUAUACACGUUUAAAACCACGGCCUGGAAGUUCCCAUUGUGGCCCAGCAGUAACAAACCUGACUAGCAUCCAUGAGGACGUGGGUCUGAUCCCUGGCCUCGCCCAGUGGGUUAAGGAUCUGAUGUCGCCAUGAGCUGUAGGUCGUAGGUCGUAGGUCUGCUGUAGGUCGCAGAUGCAGCUUGGAUCCCACAUCACCGUGGCUGUGGUGUAGACUGGCAUCUGCAGCUCCGAUUUGACCCCUAGCAUGGGAACCUCCAUGUGCCGCCCCUGCCGCCCUAAAAAGACAAAACAAAAAACAACAACAGCGAAAAACAAAACAAAACAUGGUCUGCCUUAAGUCACAGGAAGGCUAUUUCUUCCCCUAAAUCUGGGCUUUGUUUUCUUGUCCCCUUUUCUUAGAUCAGAAUUUUCAAAGAAGAAUUACUUAUUUUACUGUUUCUAGCAUUUUAUUUUUUUUUAAGAGACUGAUCAAAACUUGAUUUUAAAACAAAGGAUUCAGAGUGUGUCCGUUUGUUCUGGUUUUAGGUGUGUAAGGUGGGAGUAAAAACGCUGACUUAAACACCUUUGGCGUUUUCUGCAGUAAAGGACCACGGAGAGAGAAACGACUUCUCUGAUUGUGUCUCUCUACUGGAAUGUCAGCUCCUCAGGGACAGGCAUGGGUCCCUUUUCUUCAUUGCUGUGUCCCCAGUACCUAGAGCAAGCAGGGCCAUGGCUCACAGGAAGCGCUCAAGCAGGCGUUGAAUAAGCUAAUAUAAAUAGUGGCAGUACCCCGGAGUUACCUGUAACCUGCAUCUCUAGGUAGCUGGGGGAGUUACAGCAAUGGAUUUUCUGUGAAAUUUUGCCUUUUGUGUCAAAAAUGCCAUUUUAAUGUAUUAUGGACAUUUCUGAAUUGUAUCAUACAUUUUAUUCAUUUCUUGACUAGGGUACUCCAGACACACUUCGUCUGCUGACUCGCUGUGAGUAAUAACUGCUGUUAAUUCCUAGGUGGGCAGAGAAGCUUGUGGGACUGCCUUUGGAUAAUCAUAGCGAACAGAUAAAAACUAAUAUCCUAAUUGUUUUUUAUAUUCCUGCCUACCCACGGUUAUCCAAGCAAUAGUCUAAGACUGACUCCCUUUGUCGUAUCAAGAAAUGCAAAAGACCUUUUUGGCAAAUAGUUACUUUUUUAGUAGCUUUUGUUUUCAGGUUCAGAGAACUGUCUGGAAAAUCUGAAAUAUCAAGCUAUAUUGAUGUCUGAAGUAGGCCUGCUGUAAAAUAGGUUACACCAUGUAGCUGAAGGCCUGUGCUUAUGAGGAAAUGUUCAUCUCCAAAGCAGAAUUAUUUUUGUGCGUGUGUUUUCCAUUUGGUUGCACUAUUUGUUUGUUUUUUUUUGGGGGGGGGGGGGGGGGGGGGGAGUUCUUUUUAGGGCUGCACCUGUGAGAUGUGGAGGUUCCCAGGCUAGGGGUCAAAUCACAGCCACAGCCUCAGCAAUGUGGGAUCCAACCUACACCACAGCUCACGGCAACACUGAAUCCUUAACCCACUGAGCCAGGCCAGGGAUCUCACCCAUGUCCUCAUGGAUACUAGUCGGGUUCGUUACUGCUGAGCCGCAGCAGGAACUCCUGUUGUAUUUUAAGGGAGUUUUUUUGCCUUCCAGUUUGUUCUCUUUCUGCUCUUCCACUCAGAAGGAUUUAAUUUCUGCAAAUGUAAACCCUAUUAUCAAGAGCCACAAAAACCCUGCUAAAUAGGAAGGCUCAUCUUCAAUUCAUCAGGCAAAAUGGGAGUCACUGAAAGAUUUUGAUCCAUAUCUUUUCGUAUGACUGACCCAGCAGAUUUAUCGUAUUUUGUCUGCUAGACGGAGCCCAUUGACAGGUCAAAGCCCUUUCCUCCAGUCCAGCACUCCUCUUACCUCUUGGCAUUGACUAGAUAUGCAGUAAAUAUGUGUUGAACUAAAGUUCAAAUGAAUAUGACAAAAGAGAAUUUCAAGAAAAAGGAAGAGGAGUUCCCUGGUGGCUCAGCAGGUUAAGGAUCAGGUGUUGUCACUGCUGGAUCGCUGCUGUGGUUCAGGUUCAAUCCCUGGCCCCAGCAUUUCCACAUGCCAUGGGCAUAAGCAAAAAAGAAAAGGAUAAGGGAAGCGUGAUCGGCAUUCACUACUACCUAGAGCUCAGGCAGAAUGAGGAUUGUUUGUAGUGAGAAAUGAGAAUAUUGCAAGGGACCAGGGGAGGCAUUUCAGGUGAAUGGUUGGGGCACCCAGAUAGGUAAGAGUUCAGGAGUACAUGAGCAGAGAAAUGGGAGAGUCAGGUAGAAUUUAUUCUUAGGAGCAGUUUGGCGAAGGGCUAAGAAUCCCUCUGCUCUGCUCUGACAGUACCCUUGCCUCAUCGAACUCAAACUUUCGUGUGUGUUUUUCCUGCUAGGUUGAAUUUCAGUAAGCAGCGAAGAAGAAAGACGCCCGUAUAUGUUGGGUCUGAUACUGUGUUCCUACUUUCUUAAACUAAAUGACAUUUAACUUUAGGACAUUUUUUUUGUUUUUAAUAGGUCCAUUUCAAUUACUUCUUGUCACUUCACCCAAAAGUGUCAAAUUGAGCACAGCUUCAAGGAGUUGGAAAUAUUUGUUCUGAGGUCAGUUUUUUCACAAAUGGGGUUGUGUCGCAUGGCUCUGCUUCAGUUAUAUUUCGCAAGGUGACAGGUUGACAUUUGUAUUAAGUUCUGUAAUGUUCUAUUAGUUAUGUUCUUAUAACUCAUAGUUCUGAUUUGGAAGAUAUCUCGCCGUGAGCAUCAGUGGGAAGGAGAGUCUGUCGCACUGCUGACAUCCACGGUGAUGCAUAAAUUGCCUUUUAUAGUUCUCAGCAGGGCUUCCCGUAUGGUCUAUAAAUAUUACUUAUCUGAAAAGGUACUUAAGGUAAAUAUUUUAUUAUCAAAUAUAUUUUAAUCCAUUUGCUUUAAUUAUAUCUCACUGGCAUAUUUAUAAGACUUGUCUCUAGUCAUUCAGGGAUUUUUUUUUUUUUUUCCUAGCUGAAAAUUGUAAUAAUUUUUUUUCCAGCCAGAAACAUUGUAAAAUGUAGUUAGGUACUUACGACACGGCUUCCUGUAGGUAACAGCACUGUAAGGAGCUCUCACUCACGCGCACGUAAAACCACAAGGUCUGCCUUGCUGUCGUUAAACUAGGCUCCAGAGAAAACUCUAGGGAAUCUAACUAAAUCCUAGGUCACUGCCCACUGAGAAGAUCCUGGGCUAGGUCUGUGCCAGACUUUGGAGAGGGUGUUUGCAGGCACGGAUCCUGAGAAGAGCGGGGGCACAUGGUGACAGUGACAUGCUCAAGCUUGGUCUCCUGUGGGCAGCCUCGCUCUGCCCCAGGGAGCUCUAGCUUCGUGGGAAUGUAGCGGUAGAUUCUAGCUCUUCCGAUGUUUUAGAAAGGCAGGAAAUUUAGAUUUUUAGAUUUUUGGGUUUUGGCAUCUCCGGAUUCUUAAAUCUUGGUAGCUAACCGAAGAGGUUUAAAAGCUUUAUGCGCCGUCUCCCCAAAAAAGACGUUUAGAAGCCCUGGGGUUGCUCGUUGACUGGCAUUUGACCACCUGUCACCAUCUCCACCGCCUGGCUCAGCCCACAGUCCCCUCUCCCUGGGCCAUGGCCGUCACCUCCUGGCUUCUCUCUCUGCCCCUGUUUGCUCCCCCAGAGUCUGUUCUCAGCACCGCAGCUCUUGGGACUCUGCUAAGAUCACGUUAGGUCAGGCCUUGUCAUUCCUUUUUGCUCCACGCAGACUCUGAGCCAUGGCUUUUUCAGACACCUUGAGAAAAAACAAUUGGAAUUCCUGUUGUGGCUCAGUGGGUUGAGAACCCAACUAGUAUCCAUGAGGAUGUGGGUUCAGUCCCUGGCCUCACUCAGUGGGUUAAGGAUCUGGCAUUGCCUUGAGCUGAGCUGUGGUGUAGGUUGCAGCUGCAGCUCCGAUUGGACCCCUAGCCUGGGAACGUCCAUAUGCCUCAGGUGUGGCCCUAAAAAGACAAGAAACGAAACGAACAACAACACCAGCCAAAGACUCGGGUUCAGAUGUCAGGCUCCCGUCUUGGACUUCCUCCUGCCCUGUGCUCCUCCAAGGACAGGCUUCUGGUAGCUCUCUGAUCUCUCCAAGGAGAGCAUAAUAAAGUUGACAUCAUAUCCAAAGGUAGGGGGUUCAGAGAAGGUGGAGAAAAGUCAGAUGUCCUCCCUCAAAAAAAGGAGAGAAAGAAUCUGUGAGGGAAGGGACCAAGAAGAUUCCUAGGAUGAAAAGGCUUAAACGUGAAAAUUGUAUUGCACACAUUUAGGCUGCCAGUUUCUGUCCCUUCUCGGGGGCUUAAAUGCGCCCCCAGAAGGCACUGCUCACUCAGCAGGUAAGAGCUCAGUGACUGCCUGACGCCGACUGAAUGCCGAGAAACACUUCAGGCGUGUUUCAGAAGGGCCGUCUCCCCUGCCCGUGGGCUCGCUGUGUUGCAGGCAGUGUGAGGAGCAGAAAGUAAAUACAGAGUAGAAGCAGAAAAGUCGGCUGAAAAUUGAUGGACUACCUUGCUUGCUUCUAUUUUCCUCUUCCUCUCUCUCCAUCUCUCUCUGUUGGCUGAAUUUGGCUGAAAUUUUUUACUCUACUAUUUAGCCAAAGCAGUAUUCAGAAUAUCAAGUCCAUAUGGUAAUAAUUUAUUAAAUAUUUAUAAUCACAAGUAUAUAGUGA
RNAcentral lists this long non-coding RNA (4883 nucleotides) under Sus scrofa (pig). RNAcentral's name for it is "lncRNA (ENSSSCG00060012078.1)". The record is from RNAcentral. Lineage: Eukaryota; Metazoa; Chordata; Mammalia; Artiodactyla; Suidae.